UGGGGAAUUGUUCGCAAUGGGCGCAAGCCUGACGACGCAACGCCGCGUGGGGGAUGAAGGUCUUCGGAUUGUAAACCCCUGUCGAGCGGGACGAACGGCUCCCGAGCUAAUCAUCGGGAGAGUGACGGUACCGCUAAAGGAAGCCACGGCUAACUCUGUGCCAGCAGCCGCGGUAAUACAGAGGUGGCAAGCGUUGUUCGGAAUUACUGGGCGUAAAGGGCGCGUAGGCGGCCUCUUUAGUCAGACGUGAAAUCCCCCGGCUUAACCUGGGAACUGCGUCUGAUACUGGGAGGCUUGAGUUCGGGAGAGGGAUGUAGAAUUCCAGGUGUAGCGGUGAAAUGCGUAGAUAUCUGGAGGAAUACCGGUGGCGAAGGCGGCAUCCUGGACCGAAACUGACGCUGAGGCGCGAAAGCUAGGGGAGCAAACGGG
Molecule: ribosomal RNA, 429 nt
Filed under: uncultured bacterium
Lineage: Bacteria
Description: bacterial SSU rRNA
Rfam family: Bacterial small subunit ribosomal RNA
Source: RNAcentral